RNAcentral lists this long non-coding RNA (468 nucleotides) under Citrus sinensis (sweet orange). RNAcentral's name for it is "long non-coding RNA (CSIN_LNC003723)". Lineage: Eukaryota; Viridiplantae; Streptophyta; Magnoliopsida; Sapindales; Rutaceae. The record is from RNAcentral.
GGGUUUGGCUCCAAUGGCUAUGAUUUGCGAACAAAUGGUCGUGGAUGGUUGUCUGUUGAUGGGAAGUAUAAAUCCAGGGGACGUGGCAAUGGUUAUUUUGGUUAUGGUAAUGAGAACAUGGAUGGAUUGAAUGAGCUUAAUAGGGGACCUAGAGCCAAGGGAGCAAAAAACCAAAAGGGUUCAGCACCCAAUGCUUUACCAGUCAAAGAGCAGAAUGUGCUAACAAAUGGGACCGCUGAGGAUGAGAAUGAUAAGAUUAGUUUGAGUCCUGACAGAGAUGAAUACAAUAAAGCAGAUUUCCCAGAAGAGUACACUGAUGCUAAAUUCUUUGUCAUCAAAUCGUACAGUGAGGAUGAUGUCCAUAAAAGUAUCAAGUACAGUGUUUGGGCCAGCACCCCCAAUGGCAACAAGAAGCUUGAUGCUGCUUACCAGGAGGCUCAACAGAAGUCUCGCAGCUGCCCUGUAUUU